Molecule: non-coding RNA, 86 nt
Filed under: Pseudomonas sp. LAIL14HWK12:I2
Lineage: Bacteria; Pseudomonadati; Pseudomonadota; Gammaproteobacteria; Pseudomonadales; Pseudomonadaceae
Source: RNAcentral
CUCGAUGGUGGCUGUUCGCAGGGCGCCCCAGGGCGCGCCGGUUUAUGCACUCCCGGUCGACUAACCUGCUUACAGCCGCCACCCUU